RNAcentral lists this ribosomal RNA (658 nucleotides) under Haplamaurus viridimicans. RNAcentral's name for it is "partial 28S large subunit ribosomal RNA". It matches the Rfam family "Eukaryotic large subunit ribosomal RNA", at positions 656 to 1270 of the family's 3401-position model. Lineage: Eukaryota; Metazoa; Arthropoda; Insecta; Coleoptera; Melyridae. The record is from RNAcentral.
GAAACAUGGACCAAGGAGUCUAGCAUGUGCGCGAGUCAUUGGGACAUAAUUAAACCUAAAGGCGUAAUGAAAGUAAAGGCCAGCCUUGCGCUGGCCGAGGGAAGAUGGGCGUAGCAUACAGUCUGCGCUCCGCAUUCCCGGGGCGUCUCGCUCUCAUCGCGAGAAGAGGCGCACCAAGAGCGUACACGCUGGGACCCGAAAGAUGGUGAACUAUGCCUGGUCAGGACGAAGUCAGGGGAAACCCUGAUGGAGGUCCGUAGCGAUUCUGACGUGCAAAUCGAUCGUCGGAACUGGGUAUAGGGGCGAAAGACUAAUCGAACCAUCUAGUAGCUGGUUCCCUCCGAAGUUUCCCUCAGGAUAGCUGGCGCUCGUCGCUCACGAGUCUCAUCCGGUAAAGCGAAUGAUUAGAGGCAUUGGGGCCGAAACGGCCUCAACCUAUUCUCAAACUUUAAAUGGGUGAGAUCUCCGGCUUGCUCGAACUGAUGAAGCCGCGAGACACGGAUCAGAGUGCCAAGUGGGCCAUUUUUGGUAAGCAGAACUGGCGCUGUGGGAUGAACCAAACGCCGAGUUAAAGCGCCUAAAUCGACGCUUAUGGGAUACCAUGAAAGGCGUUGGUAACUUAAGACAGCAGGACGGUGGCCAUGGAAGUCGGAAUCCG